This 1795-nucleotide ribosomal RNA is filed under the name Escherichia coli. RNAcentral describes it as "partial 23S ribosomal RNA". It matches the Rfam family "Bacterial large subunit ribosomal RNA", at positions 905 to 2682 of the family's 2925-position model. Lineage: Bacteria; Pseudomonadati; Pseudomonadota; Gammaproteobacteria; Enterobacterales; Enterobacteriaceae. The record is from RNAcentral.
GAGCACUGUUUCGGCAAGGGGGUCAUCCCGACUUACCAACCCGAUGCAAACUGCGAAUACCGGAGAAUGUUAUCACGGGAGACACACGGCGGGUGCUAACGUCCGUCGUGAAGAGGGAAACAACCCAGACCGCCAGCUAAGGUCCCAAAGUCAUGGUUAAGUGGGAAACGAUGUGGGAAGGCCCAGACAGCCAGGAUGUUGGCUUAGAAGCAGCCAUCAUUUAAAGAAAGCGUAAUAGCUCACUGGUCGAGUCGGCCUGCGCGGAAGAUGUAACGGGGCUAAACCAUGCACCGAAGCUGCGGCAGCGACGCUGAUGCGUUGUUGGGUAGGGGAGCGUUCUGUAAGCCUGUGAAGGUGUGCUGUGAGGCAUGCUGGAGGUAUCAGAAGUGCGAAUGCUGACAUAAGUAACGAUAAAGCGGGUGAAAAGCCCGCUCGCCGGAAGACCAAGGGUUCCUGUCCAACGUUAAUCGGGGCAGGGUGAGUCGACCCCUAAGGCGAGGCCGAAAGGCGUAGUCGAUGGGAAACAGGUUAAUAUUCCUGUACUUGGUGUUACUGCGAAGGGGGGACGGAGAAGGCUAUGUUGGCCGGGCGACGGUUGUCCCGGUUUAAGCGUGUAGGCUGGUUUUCCAGGCAAAUCCGGAAAACUAAGGCUGAGGCGUGAUGACGAGGCACUACGGUGCUGAAGCAACAAAUGCCCUGCUUCCAGGAAAAGCCUCUAAGCAUCAGGUAACAUCAAAUCGUACCCCAAACCGACACAGGUGGUCAGGUAGAGAAUACCAAGGCGCUUGAGAGAACUCGGGUGAAGGAACUAGGCAAAAUGGUGCCGUAACUUCGGGAGAAGGCACGCUGAUAUGUAGGUGAAGUCCCUCGCGGAUGGAGCUGAAAUCAGUCGAAGAUACCAGCUGGCUGCAACUGUUUAUUAAAAACACAGCACUGUGCAAACACGAAAGUGGACGUAUACGGUGUGACGCCUGCCCGGUGCCGGAAGGUUAAUUGAUGGGGUCAGCGCAAGCGAAGCUCUUGAUCGAAGCCCCGGUAAACGGCGGCCGUAACUAUAACGGUCCUAAGGUAGCGAAAUUCCUUGUCGGGUAAGUUCCGACCUGCACGAAUGGCGUAAUGAUGGCCAGGCUGUCUCCACCCGAGACUCAGUGAAAUUGAACUCGCUGUGAAGAUGCAGUGUACCCGCGGCAAGACGGAAAGACCCCGUGAACCUUUACUAUAGCUUGACACUGAACAUUGAGCCUUGAUGUGUAGGAUAGGUGGGAGGCUUUGAAGUGUGGACGCCAGUCUGCAUGGAGCCGACCUUGAAAUACCACCCUUUAAUGUUUGAUGUUCUAACGUUGACCCGUAAUCCGGGUUGCGGACAGUGUCUGGUGGGUAGUUUGACUGGGGCGGUCUCCUCCUAAAGAGUAACGGAGGAGCACGAAGGUUGGCUAAUCCUGGUCGGACAUCAGGAGGUUAGUGCAAUGGCAUAAGCCAGCUUGACUGCGAGCGUGACGGCGCGAGCAGGUGCGAAAGCAGGUCAUAGUGAUCCGGUGGUUCUGAAUGGAAGGGCCAUCGCUCAACGGAUAAAAGGUACUCCGGGGAUAACAGGCUGAUACCGCCCAAGAGUUCAUAUCGACGGCGGUGUUUGGCACCUCGAUGUCGGCUCAUCACAUCCUGGGGCUGAAGUAGGUCCCAAGGGUAUGGCUGUUCGCCAUUUAAAGUGGUACGCGAGCUGGGUUUAGAACGUCGUGAGACAGUUCGGUCCCUAUCUGCCGUGGGCGCUGGAGAACUGAGGGGGGCUGCUCCUAGU